UACGGAGGAGGCAAGCGUUAUCCGGAAUUAUUGGGCGUAAAGCGUCCGUAGGUGGUUGGCCAAGUCUGCUGUCAAAGGGUGGGGCUGAACCUCAUAAAGGCAGUGGAAACUGGCGAGCUAGAGUGCGGUAGGGGUAGGGGGAAUUCCCAGUGUAGCGGUGAAAUGCGUAGAGAUUGGGAAGAACAUCGGUGGCGAAGGCGCCCUGCUGGGCCUGCACUGACACUGAGGGGCGAAAGCGUGGGGAGCAAACAGG
Molecule: ribosomal RNA, 253 nt
Filed under: uncultured bacterium
Lineage: Bacteria
Description: partial 16S ribosomal RNA
Rfam family: Bacterial small subunit ribosomal RNA
Source: RNAcentral